UUAAGCUAAGAAGAGCGUAGGGAGAAUGCCUUGGCAUUAGGAGCCGAUGAAGGACGUGAUAAGCUGCGAUAAGCUGCGGGGAUCAGCAAGUAUGAAUUGAUCCGCAGAUUUCCGAAUGGAGCAAUCCGUAUGUGUAUGCACAUACAUCAUAUACUGAAUCAAAUAGGUAUAUGAGGGGAACCGCCUGAACUGAAACAUCUAAGUAGGGCGAGGAAGAGAAAUCAACCGAGAUUCUGUGAGUAGUGGCGAGCGAAAGCGGAAGAGGCUAAACCAUAGGUAGCAAUACUUAUGGGGUUUCGGACAGCAUUUAGCAUUGAUAAUUUCUAGUUGAAACGUGUGGGAAAACGUACCGAAGAGUGUGAGAGUCACGUAAGCGAAAGAGAGAGUCAGCGAGCUGUAUCCAAAGUACCGCGGGACACGUGAAACCCCGUGGGAAGAUGGGGGGACCAUCCUCCAAGCCUAAAUACUACCUAAUGACCGAUAGCGAAUAGUACUGUGAAGGAACGGUGAAAAGAACCCCGGGAGGGGAGUGAAAAAGAACCUGAAACCCUAUGCUUACAAGCACCGAGAGCACGUCAAAGUGUGAUCGGGUACCUUUUGUAGAAUGGUCCGGCGAGUUAUUGUAUGCGGCAAGGUUAAGUGCUUAAGGCACGGAGCCGAAGCGAGAGCAAGUCUGAAUAGGGCGAAAAAGUCGUAUGCAAUAGACCCGAAACCGAGUGACCUAUCCAUGUCCAGGCUGAAGUGGAGGUAAAACUCCAUGGAGGGCCGAACACACGUCCGUUGAAAAGGCCGGUGAUGAGGUGUGGAUAGCGGAGAAAUUCCAAUCGAACUCGGAUAUAGCUGGUUCUCUCCGAAAUAGCUUUAGGGCUAGCCUCGUGAAAGAUUACUGGAGGUAAAGCACUGAAUGGGCUAGGGGUCGAAAGAUUACUGAACCCUAUCAAACUAAGAAUGCCAGAUAAUUGAUUCACGGGAGUCAGACAAUGUGAGAUAAGUCUCAUUGUCAAAAGGGAAACAGCCCAGACCCACAGCUAAGGUCCCUAAACAUUGUUAAGUGGAAAAGGAUGUGGGGUUGCAUAAACAACCAGGAUGUUGGCUUAGAAGCAGCCACUCAUUAAAAGAGUGCGUAAUAGCUCACUGGUCGAGUGACCCUGCGCCGAAAAUUCAACGGGGCUAAACAAUGUACCGAAGCUUGGGAUUCUAGAUUUAUCUAGAGUGGUAGGAGAGCGUCGAAUAAGGGGUGAAGUCAGAGCGGAAGCGCUGGUGGACUUUAUUCGAGUGAGAAUGCCGGAAUGAGUAGCGAGAAUUAUGUGAGAAUCAUAAUGGCCGAAAAUCUAAGGUUUCCUGAGGAAGGUUCGUCCGCUCAGGGUAAGCCGGGGGCUAAGGCGAGGCGGAGACGCGUAGCCGAUGCACAUACGGUUGAAAUUCCGUAGCCACCGAAAGAUUUAAGUACAGGGACGCUUUAGAAGUGAUGUAGCCGGGCGAUGGUUGACCCGGUCGUAAGGGAUCGAAAAUGAGUAGAGAAGUCAUCAUGGAAAGAGACAAGAAAAGCUGUAUGAAUAUCUUAGGUGCCCGUACCGCAAACCGACACAGGUAGAUAGGAAGAAGAUUCUAAGGCCAACGGGAGAAGGGUUGUUAAGGAACUCGGCAAGUUGACCCCGUAACUUAGGGAUAAGGGGUGCUCAAGUGAUUGAGCCGCAGAGAAUAGGCCCAGGCGACUGUUUAGCAAAAACACAGGUCUCUGCUAAAUCGAAAGAUGACGUAUAGGGGCUGACACCUGCCCGGUGCCGGAAGGUUAAGAGGAGAUGUGAGAGCAUUGAAUUGAAGCCCCGGUAAACGGCGGCCGUAACUAUAACGGUCCUAAGGUAGCGAAAUUCCUUGUCAGGUAAGUUCUGACCCGCACGAAAGG
Molecule: ribosomal RNA, 1906 nt
Filed under: human gut metagenome
Description: bacterial LSU rRNA
Rfam family: Bacterial large subunit ribosomal RNA
Source: RNAcentral